UGAGGGGGAUGAGAUCGAGGUAUUCGAGGACGAGGUGGUCGUGCCAAAGCACGUGACGCUUAUACAGUCACACAACCUCCCUUGCCUCCACUACCUCCUAUCCCUCCUUCUACUCAAGCACCUACUUCUAAUGCUGCAGCACCAUCUGCACUUGCUAUAGCACCAUCAGCAUCAGCCCCACCACCCGUGGAGGGAGAUGCUCGACCAAAGUUGAUGACUUUGAAAGGAUGUUGACAGCUUGUAUCCAUCAUCUGAUGCCUCCAAAGCCAUUAUGAGGAUCUUCAAACUUCAUUUGGAGAAAGAUGGUUGGUGUUAGGGAGGUAUACCAGCAGAGGCUAGACAGUUGUACUUGGAAGAGUUUAUGAAGGGGUUCACAUGGGAAUCAGAUGCUAUAGAGGCUCUGUUUAAGAAAGCUUAGGAGACACAAUCAGCGGAGGGCUACUCAAACUUCCUGUACAAGAUGUGGAGUACAGGAAAGAAGCAAAGGUGUAUUUUUUACGAGGUUUGGACUAAUUGGUAGUAGGCUUGGUCCUAUCAUGAAUAUGUGAGAAAACGAGAGAUUAUGUCCCAUAAUAGAUUCAAUGAAAUGGGUGGUGAGUGAGCUGGUCUAUCUUGACUCACUGGCGGUGCCAUUUCAGCAGCUGAGAUUACUGAGAAAUUGGCAUUGAAGUUGAAGCGUCAACCUACCCCCAUGAAGGUCUUCACAUAUACACAUACGAAGGACGAUGAUGGGGUCACAUUCAUUGAUAAGCAUGUCGAGCUUGUUAAAGAUAACUAUAUUACUAGAAAAGAGCGAGCUACUGCAUCUCAGGCUUAUACUAGUGAGAAGCCUACAAAAUCGAUGAAUUUUAGCUUUAUCUCGAGGCUACAGGAGGCGAGAAGAAGAGAAAAGUGUAUGGUAUUGGUUCACAAUAUGAUAUUUUUUACAGCCGCACACAUGGAAAUCAGUGAGUUGAGCCACACUAGCUAAGCCAAAGGCACGUACCGAGGAGAUCUAGGAUUUACGGGCUCAGCUUUAGAAGCAGCAACAAUAAAUAUCACAGCUUGUAUUGCAGCAGCAACAACAACUGAUGGAGAUGUAUGCUCGAGACUGAGCUACAACACCGCCAGCUCUCUCUGCAUCGACAGAUCACUCUGAUCCCCUGGCUUCUUUCACUCUGCCUACUUCUUAGAGUCCCAUUACAGAUUUUGCAAAUCUGACCCCUUAUGCUUCUUUUUUAUUACAUGUUUAUUUUGUAUAUAUUAUGGUAUAAUUUGUAA
Molecule: long non-coding RNA, 1260 nt
Organism: Jatropha curcas
Lineage: Eukaryota; Viridiplantae; Streptophyta; Magnoliopsida; Malpighiales; Euphorbiaceae
Source: RefSeq, a predicted model, not a curated record